This 429-nucleotide ribosomal RNA is filed under the name Bacteroidota bacterium. Its description in RNAcentral is "Bacteroidetes bacterium partial 16S ribosomal RNA". It matches the Rfam family "Bacterial small subunit ribosomal RNA", at positions 355 to 776 of the family's 1533-position model. Lineage: Bacteria; Pseudomonadati; Bacteroidota. The record is from RNAcentral.
UAGGGAAUCUUCGGCAAUGGGGGGAACCCUGACCGAGCAACGCCGCGUGAGUGAAGAAGGUUUUCGGAUCGUAAAGCUCUGUUGUUAAGGAAGAACGAGUGUGAGAAUGGAAAGUUCAUACUGUGACGGUACUUAACCAGAAAGGGACGGCUAACUACGUGCCAGCAGCCGCGGUAAUACGUAGGUCCCGAGCGUUGUCCGGAUUUAUUGGGCGUAAAGCGAGCGCAGGCGGUUAGAUAAGUCUGAAGUUAAAGGCAGUGGCUCAACCAUUGUAGGCUUUGGAAACUUUUUAACUUGAGUGCAGAAGUGGGUGGUGGAAUUCCAUGUGUAGCGGUGAAAUGCGUAGAUAUAUGGAGGAACACCGGUGGCGAAAGCGGCUCUCUGGUCUGUAACUGACGCUGAGGCUCGAAAGCGUGGGGAGCGAACAGG